AUUUUCCUUCUUUCAACUUAGCAUUUCUGAGCAAGGAUGAACAAUCAUCUUCUCCUUUCAUCAGCCUCAGAAUUCCAUCUUCAAGCUGUUUGACAGCCUCACCUUAUUGGCCUCAGGAAAGCUAAUGUACCAUGGUCCUGCCCAGAAGGCUUUGGAGUACUUUGAAUCAGCAGGUGUGGUUGACCUUUUCAGGCACUAGAUCCUUCCAU
RNAcentral lists this long non-coding RNA (209 nucleotides) under Marmota monax (woodchuck). Lineage: Eukaryota; Metazoa; Chordata; Mammalia; Rodentia; Sciuridae. The record is from RNAcentral.